Long non-coding RNA from Symsagittifera roscoffensis, 700 nucleotides. RefSeq lists it as uncharacterized. Lineage: Eukaryota; Metazoa; Xenacoelomorpha; Acoela; Convolutidae. The transcript is spliced from 3 exons. The record is from RefSeq and is a predicted model, not a curated record.
UUUGCGACUGGUUACUUUGCGAACUUGUUUGCGAACUUGUUUGCUGAAUUCCCAUGAACAACUUCAUGCACUUCCUUAUAUGGAAUAGUCAUGGUUGGUUAAUCAUCGAGAAGUUUGAUUACUUGUUCAAAAUUCGGUUUUGGGAGUUCAGUAAAAUGCCGACAUUCAAUUUCCAUCAAUUCAAUUUUCUUCUAAUGUUAUCAAUGAUCAGUCAGUGUCAAUCAAGAUCGUCCUAUCAAUAUCAGGAAAAUAUUACACACAAUAUCAAAACUGAGGUUAGCUCGUAUAUUGUGAAUGGUUUCAAUACGCCAUUUGGUCGGGAUUUUUUCGUUUCUCUUGCCCAUAGUAAUUUUGAAACAUAUUGCGGGGCAGGGAUUUUGGAACCGUACUGGGUCAUUACGGCUGCUCAUUGCAUAGCUCAUCUUCCAGUGGAAGACAUAUUCGUUCUGGUUUCCGACCUGCCACAAACGGAUUCACCGACACAAAGAGUGGCUCGACUGAACUUUGUUCAAGCGAAGUUCGUGCCUCUCAGCUUUGGACUUCACGAUGGGUAUUUCACGAGUGAUAUCGCGCUUAUCAAACUUCUUCAUCCGAUUAGGAACGCUCGUCGUUUUUUGCCCAUAUGUACUGAUCUUAAUUACAACCUUCACCCAGACAUUCUAGGGAAAAAAAAUCAACAAGACGGAAAUAGCUGACUGAA